Molecule: long non-coding RNA, 638 nt
Organism: Bos indicus x Bos taurus (hybrid cattle)
Lineage: Eukaryota; Metazoa; Chordata; Mammalia; Artiodactyla; Bovidae
Source: Ensembl
CUCCCCAGGCCCCGGCCCCGCCUCCUCAGGCCCCGGCCCCGCCUCGCACGGGCUCUCCUGCAGAAGCGUUGUGGGGGCGGCAGCGAGCCUGUGCACAGAGCGUACAGGAACCGGGCUUGUGGACCCAGGGCAGGUUCUGAAGUGGCUAAAGAGGAGGCAAUCAUCUGGGGGCCAGAGGGAGACCUGCCUGGACGACGGCCGGAGGGAGCGCUGCAGUACAGACCUCCGGGGGCCAGGGAGGAGCACCCCCGUGGAGGGCAGUGGGUGGCCUCAUGGUGACCAGGACAACAGGGAGGGCCGGGGGACAGCUGCUGACCAAGUGGGGCCAAUGGGGAGAGUCCAUUUCAAAUUUCCACCUGGACUCCCAGACCCUGACUCUAGCGGAGACCCUCCCCUGGCGCCAUCAGGACAAACUUGCCCCCAGGUAAAAGUCUCAGAGGGCGAAGGGGACACAUCACCACUGAUAGGACUCCUGGACACACGAUUUUGUUGCACCUCAUCCCCGCCAACACGCAGGUCUCCACGCCGCAGCCCUGGCCCAGCACGACUCUCCCCUGCCUUUCACCAUAUUCUGUGCUCAGCACGCUGAAUCUGAGACUACUUGAGGUGGCGGGUGAUUCUGAUGAUAACUGUAAAAA